CACAACAAGUGAACACUCAGAGCAAAGCAGUGCAGAACUUGUCCCCGGGUGAGAAAGAUGCAUCGCGGCCUGUUGUUGCUGGCGGUGGUGUUGGUGGCGGUGUGCGUGACCACCAGUGAAGCAGGCGGAAACCCUGGCGUAUGUCCAUCACUAAUCACCAGCUGCAGUGGACGGCCAUGCAUCUCCGACCGAGAUUGCUUACGACACCAAAAAUGCUGCUUUAAUCCAUGCGGCAGACUUUGCACAAAUGUUCGUCCGUAUGGGUUCCACUAACCACCACAACCACCACCACCACUUUGGCCUGAGAGGAAACAUGAAUCUGAUGUUAACUGUUGCUGAUUGGUGUUGUUAAAGAAUGAUGAAUAAAAAUUGGCUAAAAUA
Long non-coding RNA from Portunus trituberculatus (swimming crab), 381 nucleotides. RefSeq lists it as uncharacterized. The record is from RefSeq and is a predicted model, not a curated record. The transcript is spliced from 4 exons. NCBI's taxonomy places the organism in Eukaryota, Metazoa, Arthropoda, Malacostraca, Decapoda, Portunidae.